RNAcentral lists this ribosomal RNA (422 nucleotides) under uncultured bacterium. RNAcentral's name for it is "bacterial SSU rRNA". It matches the Rfam family "Bacterial small subunit ribosomal RNA", at positions 355 to 774 of the family's 1533-position model. The record is from RNAcentral.
UGAGGAAUAUUGGUCAAUGGACGAGAGUCUGAACCAGCCAAGUAGCGUGAAGGAUGAAGGCUCUAUGGGUCGUAAACUUCUUUUAUAUGGGAAUAAAGUGAGCCACGUGUGGCUUUUUGUAUGUACCAUAUGAAUAAGGACCGGCUAACUCCGUGCCAGCAGCCGCGGUAAUACGGAGGGUCCGAGCGUUAUCCGGAUUUAUUGGGUGUAAAGGGAGCGUAGACGGCUAUGCAAGUCUGAUGUGAAAACCCGGGGCUCAACCCCGGGACUGCAUUGGAAACUGUGUAGCUAGAGUGUCGGAGAGGUAAGUGGAAUUCCUAGUGUAGCGGUGAAAUGCAUAGAUAUAACUUAGAACUCCGAUAGCGAAGGCAGCUUACCAGACUGUCACUGACGCUGAUGCACGAGAGCAUGGGUAGCAAACA